GCUGGAAUGCUCAGUUGGUUAGAGCGUGUGGCUGUUAACCACAAAAGGUUGAAGGUUCAAGCCCUCCUUCUAGCG
RNAcentral lists this transfer RNA (75 nucleotides) under Ipomoea nil (Japanese morning glory). It matches the Rfam family "tRNA". Rfam says of the family: Transfer RNA (tRNA) molecules are approximately 80 nucleotides in length. Their secondary structure includes four short double-helical elements and three loops (D, anti-codon, and T loops). Further hydrogen bonds mediate the characteristic L-shaped molecular structure. tRNAs have two regions of fundamental functional importance: the anti-codon, which is responsible for specific mRNA codon recognition, and the 3' end, to which the tRNAs corresponding amino acid is attached (by aminoacyl-tRNA synthetases). tRNAs cope with the degeneracy of the genetic code in two manners: having more than one tRNA (with a specific anti-codon) for a particular amino acid; and 'wobble' base-pairing, i.e. permitting non-standard base-pairing at the 3rd anti-codon position. The record is from Rfam by way of RNAcentral. Lineage: Eukaryota; Viridiplantae; Streptophyta; Magnoliopsida; Solanales; Convolvulaceae.